GUUCAUUAAUCCUUGUUGAACCCAAAUUUUGUUGAAUGUAGAAAUUCUCAAUGUGAGGACCAAAAAGGAAUAAGGUUACAAGAUAUAACAAACCAGAUUCAGGCAGUAAUAAACUUCAAAUUCUACCAGCUCUAGGUCGCGAUUAGUCAUAAGGAUUCCUGAAAUUCUUGAGAAGUUCAGGGAUGUCAUAACCAAGCAUAUCGUCAACAUCUUGUAUCAUUUUUGGCUUCAACUUCUCGAAUCUGUCAAAGCUAUAACCACCGAGAACUUCCCUGAAGUGUUCGACAUUUGGAAAAUCCCCAGCAGGCAGAUGGAAUUCCCUUUGAACCUUUCCAAAUUCGUUUUCCAAUUCGUCGAUGAGUCUCUGUUGAGUCUUGGCUUUUCCUAUCAUAGCAGGCAUCUCUUUUCUGAGAUGACU
Molecule: unclassified non-coding RNA, 418 nt
Filed under: Hevea brasiliensis (rubber tree)
Lineage: Eukaryota; Viridiplantae; Streptophyta; Magnoliopsida; Malpighiales; Euphorbiaceae
Source: RNAcentral